Molecule: ribosomal RNA, 407 nt
Filed under: Pseudomonas aeruginosa
Lineage: Bacteria; Pseudomonadati; Pseudomonadota; Gammaproteobacteria; Pseudomonadales; Pseudomonadaceae
Description: partial 23S ribosomal RNA
Rfam family: Bacterial large subunit ribosomal RNA
Source: RNAcentral
CCUCGAUGUCGGCUCAUCACAUCCUGGGGCUGAAGUAGGUCCCAAGGGUAUGGCUGUUCGCCAUUUAAAGUGGUACGCGAGCUGGGUUUAGAACGUCGUGAGACAGUUCGGUCCCUAUCUGCCGUGGGCGCUGGAGAAUUGAGGGGGGCUGCUCCUAGUACGAGAGGACCGGAGUGGACGCAUCACUGGUGUUCGGGUUGUCAUGCCAAUGGCACUGCCCGGUAGCUAAAUGCGGAAGAGAUAAGUGCUGAAAGCAUCUAAGCACGAAACUUGCCCCGAGAUGAGUUCUCCCUGAGACUUUAAGUCUCCUGAAGGAACGUUAAAGACGAUGACGUUGAUAGGCCGGGUGUGUAAGCGCAGCGAUGCGUUGAGCUAACCGGUACUAAUGAACCGUGAGGCUUAACCUU